This 453-nucleotide ribosomal RNA is filed under the name uncultured bacterium. Its description in RNAcentral is "bacterial SSU rRNA". It matches the Rfam family "Bacterial small subunit ribosomal RNA", at positions 345 to 794 of the family's 1533-position model. The record is from RNAcentral.
AGUGCAGCAGUCGAGGAAUAUUGGUCAAUGGACGGAAGUCUGAACCAGCCAUCCCGCGUGCAGGAAGAAGGCGCUAUGCGUUGUAAACUGCUUUUCCGAGGGAAGAAAAUUUCGCACGAGUGCGGAACUGUCGGUACCUUGGGAAUAAGCAUCGGCUAACUCCGUGCCAGCAGCCGCGGUAAUACGGAGGAUGCGAGCGUUAUCCGGAUUUAUUGGGUUUAAAGGGUGCGUAGGCGGACCGAUAAGUCAGUGGUGAAAACCUGCAGCUUAACUGUAGACGUGCCAUUGAUACUGUCGGACUUGAGUGUGGUCAAGGUAGGCGGAAUGUGUAAUGUAGCGGUGAAAUGCUUAGAUAUUACACAGAACACCGAUUGCGAAGGCAGCUUGCUGGACCAUUACUGACGCUGAUGCACGAAAGCGUGGGGAGCGAACAGGAUUAGAUACCCCGGUAGC